This is a long non-coding RNA of Corythoichthys intestinalis (scribbled pipefish), 7318 nucleotides long. RefSeq lists it as uncharacterized. The transcript is spliced from 3 exons. The record is from RefSeq and is a predicted model, not a curated record. Lineage: Eukaryota; Metazoa; Chordata; Actinopteri; Syngnathiformes; Syngnathidae.
UAAUGGGUAACAAUAUUUUUGCUUGCUUAUAUGUCAGCUCGAGAAAAAAUAUCUAUGAUACAGUUGUUCAUCGCGAUAGUUUCUGGGUAAUAUUUCUUCCUAAGAAAUAGUUAGGGUGAGAGGCCUACAUAUUGAUCAAUAUCAGUAUAUGAAGAAAGUGGCCUGGACCGAUUGCAAUUCUGGUUAUUGCACUGGAGUUGCCUUGUGGACAGACAGCAAUGCAAGAUGUGUGUACGUGCAUGUAGGGGUGUUUGGGUGCGCGUGUGUGAGAAGCUUUGUCUGCUUGCUGCAAGCUCUUACCAUCAAAGCAGCUAAUAUUAGCAUGUCACCCAAGACAUGCUCUAUUUGGACACAAAGCAAGUGAUAAAUGAGUGUAGCUGUCCUCUCUCACCCGUGCUAUAGCUUUUUAUGUGUGUGCGUCUAUUUGUGUCUACGUGGGAGCAAUCGCACACAAAUAUGUGUCAACAGCAAGGGUAAUUUAAAAACUGGUAACGUCAGUGAUUUUUGAGCACCAGAGUGUAGGGGGCGUUCCAUCAUUCCAGAUGCGAUUUUCUGUACUUAAAUGCAGCUGCAUGAAGAAGACAGCGCCCAAUGUGGAACCUGGCCAAAGAGGCUUCCAGAUAAGCUAGGAUGCAGACACACCCAGUCGGUCAGGCAGCCAGGUCGGGAGGACAAGAAGAAUAGAAAAGGGCAGUGUGAUCUCAAACACUUGCGUUCCUCACUCGCCCCUCACCCCCUCCCAAGUCUCUGUUUGCCUCCGUCGCUGAUUUGAGGCUACAGUUGGUUGUAUGUCACCACUCUCCCUUUCUGCUCCAUCUGUCCCUCCCCCAUCAUCUCUCCUCUUUCUCCCCCUUUUCUCUUCAUUUCUCCCUUCUCUCUGUCUCCCUCUCUCCGCACCAAAGCCUGGGGGAGCCAAUGGAGAUUAUAUGUAGCCUCUAUAAGCCAAAGCACAUCAUGUAGCAAUGUUUCUUCGGCCCCAUCUCACUUGCACGCUGUCGGCUUCUCCUUCAGUCUCUGAAGGGAUAACGGGAUUGAUGUCGGCCCACAGGAGAACAGAAAGAACGUAGGGGAGAAAGAAAAAGGAAACAUAUCGAGUUUGCAGAAGGGAGCAGAGGAUUUCCUUCAAGGGCGCAAAACUGACAAUGGCAAGGUGGAAAAAAAACAAGCAAAGGUCCACCCCUUUCUACUCCUCCCUCUCAGUUUACCUCUCUCGCUCACUCAUCUGAUAUGGAAGUAAGAGCGAGCCUCAAGCUGUAACUGAUUACAGCUGUGGGACAAAUUCAUGGAUGAUAUUUCUCCUCCCUUUCUCUGUUUGUUUCAUGUUUCCUCUCUUGCCAAAAGAAAAUCGCCUCUCCUUUCCGCUUUGAAUAGAAAAAGCAGAAAAUAAAUUGGUUUAGUCCUGUUCCUUGUAUGUAUUGACAAGUGUAUGUGUGCGUCUGUGUCCAACCUGCUCUUUAAACCCUCAAGUUCAAACACAAAAUUGGUGUAGACGCGGGUGCAUUGAAGGUAAAAGAAAAGUCCCCACUCCCCCCACUUCCACCUCUUCUUACCGCUCAGUUAGUGAGGUUGCAUACUGGAAUGCUUCACUGGCACUGGGCACCCGGCUUCAAGCGCUCAUGCUGUUGCUUGAUGGUCGUUCACUUUGACGCCCCCUUUUUUAACAUCUGACGCUUGCGUAUCACUUCCACCUAUUUUCCAGAGAGAGGAAUUACAUCGCUUACUCUAGAGAGAGAGAGAGAGAGAGAGAGAGAGAGAGAGAGAGUGUGUACACAUGGUUCAUUCCGGCUCGGUCUACCACCCAUCUUAUGCCUCUCUUGCCUCUGCCAUCACUCUCCUUCCUUUUAUUCUGUCCAAUUGUGAGCUGUGGGCUUAAAACCAUGAUUCUUCUUUGGGUGAAGUCAUGAUUAUUUAAACCAAAACAAACUGUUGAUGCUACCUGGAAUCUUCUUGCUGUGCUGCUGUAACUUCAAAUCUGAGCUUUCUCUCUCUGCCUGUUUUUCUUCUUCCUCUUCUGAGCAGGCGAGUGAGCGAGGAGACAAACAAGCGGGAGUCUCCUAGUCUGAAAAGGAGGACCAACUUGAAGAGAAUUCUUCCGGCCGCUAGGGGGCAGCGCUUGCCUGCGUUGACGUUGCUCCUACUGGUAGGGGCGGGAGAAGGAGUAGAUCUUCUUCUUCUUUUUUGUUGGCAGUUCACCCUUUGUUUCAUGGGGAAUUACCACCAUCUACUGACGGUUUGGCGAGAGCUCAGACUACAGUAAGGAGUUCAAUAAGAAGUUCUAAAAGACGUGGCUCCAUACACCUUUCUACAGAUAACUACGGAACCAGUCUAGUGCUAGGCCUCUAAUCCCAUAAUGCUGCAGUUUAUUGGUGAGUAUUUCAGUCUUAAUGGUGUCAAAUGCUUUGGACAGGUCCAAAAAAAUGCCAACUCCGUAGUCACUUUUGUCAAUUGCAUCGUAGACUUUUUCCGUCAAGUCAAGUACUGCCAUAAGUGUAGUAUUUUCCUUUCUGAAUCUGUACUGUGAUGGGACAACAUUUUCAUGAUGAUAAUACAUACUCAGCAGAAAAACAGCACAUUAUUUGCAAUUAAUUAAACUCUCCUGGAUGCCACAAAUUGUAUGUAAAAUGUUUUCCAAGACUUUAGGAAGACACCAAGUCACCACGCUAAAAGCUAAUGCUAAUGCUAAAGUGUGUGAUGAUCACUCAGCACAGACCUUUAAAGUAUAAAGCAACAUUAAAUGUGUAGCCAAGAUAAGAAAGCAGAACUUACCAAGCAGCACCUGAUACAUAUGUUUCACAAAAGAAGCCUGGAAUGGGCACAGGCUUACCGUGUGUGUGGGGCGGGGGGCUUCACAUCACAUGAGUGACACGACAAAACACUGCUAAAUGCGUGGUAACUAUACAUACAUUAAGAGAAUAUCACACAUUGUGAAUUCAUGAUGGAAACUAUGGCAAAUUUUCAUCUCGUUCUCGUGUCGUCAGACGACAACUGGAAUCCAUAUCAUUAUGUUUUAGUCUCCCAAGACAUGUUUUCGGUGCACCAUCAUGACGUCAUCGUCAUGAAAAAACUGUUGGUUGACAAAAUAUUUUCAUUAUCGUCAUCGUUGACGAAAACAACACUGCUCCCCAUCUAUACAGUGAAUGGGUUGCCUCGCAACAUUUCACACCGGACAUUAGCCGAAAUGAGAGAAACCAUAAGUUAUGAAUUUUAAUUCAUAAUCAUUCAUGUAAAGGAGAAGAUGUAAGAUUAAUUUAAUAUCAGUGAUCAGUGUUGCAAUGUAAAUUAAUCAGUAACUUUUUAAUGUGUUGCCCUCACUUCAUUGGUCCUUUUAGAUCGACUUGAGUUUGGACUGGCUUGGAGUGGCUGUCCUUUUUCUGCUUGCUUAAAUUUGCACAGUGUUUUAACUAUAACAUCCUCUAGUAACCAUAGUAACCAGAUCUUACUACUGCUGUUUUCCCUGUUUUACUCCCCCCCUGCAGGAAAAUGACAGUUAUAUCUGAACUCUGUACCCUGUCUUUAUUUCUUCUAUCCUUACAGCUCUUGUCGCCUCCAUCUAUGAUCCUCUUUUCCUCUUCCUCUGACACACUCUUUUUCAUUUUUUCCUUUUCUUACACCCUUGGCCGCCUUGCGUCUCAUAGCUUAAUCUGUGCUUGCUGAGCUGCUGAGUGCUGCACACGCAGAACACGGGGUCACUAUGAGUUUAUGCUUGUAUUUACAUUGCUUGCUGCUGUCAGAACUGAGGAAUAGGGCUUGGCUGAAAUACAAUUAUCAUAUGACAACAGGCACAUUUUCUUCGUACCCUCUUUGCAUCCCAUAUGGAUUGCCUCGAUUCGGUUGCCUGUGCAAUUGUUAUACGGACGGCUCCUCCAUCAAACACAACCUGAUAGCCUCCUUGUCGUUAAAGUUUUAGGGGCAACUUUGAACAUUCUCUUCAGCAGCACAUAAUAUAUCAUCAAAGAUGGGAUUAAAACUUUUUUUCCCCUUCUGUCUUUUUUUCAUGGUCUUGGCUGUUGAAAGAGUUGAGCUGGAAGAUUUAAGCUUAUUAGCUUAAAGAACAGGGCAAGGCAGUUUUGAACUGAUGUAUGGCAGACUUCAAAGAUGGCUUAAUCUCUCAGUACACAUGCCCUAUACAGGCUAUUUAUAUUUAAAAGCAAUGUUUCUUCCAAAAGACUUCCUCUUGCUACGCGAUAACAGCUCUGGGUUUUAUUAUUCCUGCUAUGUCUAGACAGCAGAGACUUACCCACUGAGCGUUCUCCUUUCUAGUAAUGAAAUCACAUAAAGUGGACAAAAAAGUAUACACCCACUUGUUACCUUUAUCUUAUAGAAUUCAUUGAGAGGGGGUCAGGGAAAAUCAUGAAGCCAUGUAAUGUGGUUGAGCAGGAAUGCUUGCGCCUUCUAACAAUUGAGAGGUACUUAUUGUGUAUUAUAUUUGACAACAAUUUGCCAUCCUUUGAGCCUGUGAGGUAGGGUGGCAAGACAGAAGCCUUAGAUUUUGCAAAAUUAUCUGUGAAAACCUAGGCUAAAAUUUUUUUACCAUCCUAAUUUUGAUUCCUGUUAUCAUCUAUGGAAGCCCAAUCCUGCCAUAGUUAUCUUCAAAAGUGGAGGUAUCUGCAAGGAAAGAAGUCCUUGUAAGCCUGCGGGUAUUACAACAAUACUUAAAGCCCACAUUAUAUCUUUUUAACCCAAGUUAAAAACGUUUUAUUAUCAUCUAUAAGUCACAAUGUGCAAAUGAGUAUGUUGCCAAAACCUCAAGGCUUUGCUGUGUAGUCGGAGCCCUUUGCAAAACAACUCCCCAUAGUAAAAAUUUGCUACUCAUCUGUUGCUUAAUCUUGUCAAGUGAGACAAAUUUGAUCGUCUCAACUUUAUCUUAUUCUUUGCUUAUUUGUUUCUAAGUUUGUGCUGAGUGAUGAGUCAAAAUGAGCAAAGACAUAAUUGAGACAAUGGAGAUUAAUUUGAGCAGAGGAAUUCUCAUAAUUGAAAAUAGAGUUACACUUGUAUAGCAACUUUCAGGCACUCAAAGCAAUUUGACACUAUAUCCUCAUCUACCUACAGGUGACUCAGCAACGUGGAGUUUAUUGUCUCGCUCAAGGAUAUUAAAUGAGUUCAUCAGGACAGAGACUCAAACUCACAACCUCUGGGUUAUGGAACAAAUACUCUACCACUGAACCACGCACGGGCUCAGAUGCACUGUACUCGAUGUGACGCAACAUAUCAAUGAAAAGCAAGUUCAGAAUGAGCAUAUAGCAGCGAUAAAGCAAAAUUGUUUUAUUUCUCUUCAUUUAAUAAUUGAUAUAUUUCUUUGAGAGUUCAAAAAAACUUCCUAAUCGCGAACGUUGCCUGUGAGCUAGUAGUUUUAGCGAGACAGUGUCAGCCAGCGUGUUGCUUCUCGGCAUCAAACAAGAGGACAAAGGUUCUGCACACUAUUUGGUGGUAAACCUUCAGUCUUCAAAACCAAAAACCCAUAAUGCAUUUGUAGCGGCCAAUAGUUUACGGCACCAAAUUUUUGAUCACAUCUGUAAUUUUUACGUUGAAUCAGAUGAACCAGAUGUUUUUUAAUGAUUUCAUUCAUUCAUUUUCCCAGCCGCUGAUCCUCAUCUGACCGAUUAUACUAUUUUUUUCAGAUUUUGGCACAAAGAUGAAUUAAGAUGUAAUCGGACAUGUCAGAGCAGACAUUACUCUUUCUUACAAUAAAAGAAUCUUGAGAACCCCAAAUGAGCAACUGCAGACUGGAAGGAGAUCAAACUGAGAAAUAUUUGUGAUUGGCACAAUACUGUAUAUGGUUGUUUGGCGACAUCAGGAAUGAAGCAGCUGUGAGCCAAGAAAUAACAUACUUUUCUUAUCCAUAUCUUCACUGAGACAUGACUGAGAUUGUGAGUCCAAGUAAGGAGAUCAAAUUGAGACGCAUUUAAGGUCAGCACAAGAUCUCAUAGUUUUCUCUUGGUGAAAUCUUGAAGGGAGAGAGCUUUGAGACUUAUUCGAGAAAUCGUGCUAGGAGAAGUAUUCCCAAGACCUUCUCAAGUAAUGCUCACUGUGAGACUUACUUCUCACAAACAAAUUUGAGAAAACUGAGAAAACCACUCUGUCUCGAUUAUUGCUGAUUCACUGGUCAGACAUGUAAAUGAGACAUAAAUAAGAUCUCAUCUUCAUUUUUGCUUUGCUAUGGGUCGUGUUUUGAUGAUACCUCCUGAUAGAAUGAUUGAUAUCCUGCUAAGCGAAUCAUGUGAUUAGUAUUUUAAUUCACAAGGGAAGGUUUGAUGCCUCAGUCUAGCAAACCUGUUUGGCGUUGCCAGAGCAGCCUGCAAUCAUAUUAACUUUGGCCCGGUGCUUUCCCCUGGUUGUUAACCAAUUUAUCAAAGAAAGUCAACAUUUUACUUUUGUUUUCUUCCGGCCACAAAUUUGAGUUUGUUGGCAAAACCUGCCGUAGCUCCAGGACAUUGCCUUCGUCAAUAAAAUAAUCCAUCUCUAAGGGAUAGGCGCUGCCACAGUUUUUACAUGUAAUAGAUGAAACACACUGCAGUAGUUUUGGAGACACACUACUGAAGCUGAUGCCUAAUGGCUUUAGGUAGCCGCACGACUUAGCGCCGACAGGCACGUCUGCUCGGAUUCCCCCGGCCUGGUCAUACACUGCGCCACUUUGCUUUGUAAUUAUUUGGUUGGCUUUCCAACAACAAUUGACCCCGGAAGAAGAAAGAUUCAACCAAUCAGAAGAGGGCGAUUUUGGUGGAAGUUCAACAUGUCUAUGCAGGGGUUGUCACUACCCGAUCAUGACAGGCUACUGGAUCGUGACGGAUUGCCACUGCCAAUGCGUGAGCUGACGCCAUUUUCGUAUAUUUAGAUGUAUGUACGUUAUAGAUUAAAUAAUGAAUAUACAUUUUUCUUUCUUUUUUUUUUGUGAUAAUGAUCACUGAAGUGUUUAUCUAGGAUGAGGGGAGACAAAGACUGUUUAAACUACACUUUAAAUUCUUGAAAGACAUUAAUUUUAUGUAUAGAUCAUAAGGGUGAAUGUAUGGGCGCUGCAUAUUCCUGUGCACUAGAUGGGGGUAUGCCCCUGAAAGUUGAUUGCAUUGAGAAGUGACAGCAGUGCGCAAACGGCGGAAGAGUGGGCUUUGUGACCUAUCCCUCUGUCGUGUUUAAGGGGAAACUGAGUGGCAUGCCUAAAAAGUUCAAGUUUUUUAAUUUUUUAAAAUACUUUUUUUCAAUGUAAUAUUUUAUUUUGUCACUAUCAAUCUUUUCAAUAUGUACAGUGCCUUGCAAAAGUAUUCGGCCCCCUUGAACCUUGCAACCUUUCGCCACAUUUCAGGCUUCAAACAUAAAGAUAUAA